UAGGGAAUCUUCGGCAAUGGGGGGAACCCUGACCGAGCAACGCCGCGUGAGUGAAGAAGGUUUUCGGAUCGUAAAGCUCUGUUGUUAAGGAAGAACGAGUGUGAGAAUGGAAAGUUCAUGCUGUGACGGUACUUAACCAGAAAGGGACGGCUAACUACGUGCCAGCAGCCGCGGUAAUACGUAGGUGGCAAGCGUUAUCCGGAAUUAUUGGGCGUAAAGCGCGCGUAGGCGGUUUUUUAAGUCUGAUGUGAAAGCCCACGGCUCAACCGUGGAGGGACAUUGGAAACUGGAAAACUUGAGUGCAGAAGAGGAAAGUGGAAUUCCAUGUGUAGCGGUGAAAUGCGCAGAGAUAUGGAGGAACACCAGUGGCGAAGGCGACUUUCUGGUCUGUAACUGACGCUGAUGUGCGAAAGCGUGGGGAUCAAACAGG
This 430-nucleotide ribosomal RNA is filed under the name Bacteroidota bacterium. RNAcentral's name for it is "Bacteroidetes bacterium partial 16S ribosomal RNA". It matches the Rfam family "Bacterial small subunit ribosomal RNA", at positions 355 to 776 of the family's 1533-position model. Lineage: Bacteria; Pseudomonadati; Bacteroidota. The record is from RNAcentral.